AUUGAACGCUGGCGGCAUGCCUUACACAUGCAAGUCGAACGGUAACAGGUCUUCGGAUGCUGACGAGUGGCGAACGGGUGAGUAAUACAUCGGAACGUGCCCGAUCGUGGGGGAUAACGAAGCGAAAGCUUUGCUAAUACCGCAUACGAUCUACGGAUGAAAGCAGGGGACCGCAAGGCCUUGCGCGAACGGGGCGGCCGAUGGCAGAUUAGGUAGUUGGUGGGAUAAAAGCUUACCAAGCCGACGAUCUGUAGCUGGUCUGAGAGGACGACCAGCCACACUGGGACUGAGACACGGCCCAGACUCCUACGGGAGGCAGCAGUGGGGAAUUUUGGACAAUGGGCGAAAGCCUGAUCCAGUCAUGCCGCGUGCAGGAUGAAGGCCUUCGGGUUGUAAACUGCUUUUGUACGGAACGAAAAGACUCUGGUUAAUACCUGGGGUCCAUGACGGUACCGUAAGAAUAAGCACCGGCUAACUACGUG
This 482-nucleotide ribosomal RNA is filed under the name uncultured bacterium. RNAcentral's name for it is "partial 16S ribosomal RNA". It matches the Rfam family "Bacterial small subunit ribosomal RNA", at positions 30 to 507 of the family's 1533-position model. The record is from RNAcentral.